Molecule: ribosomal RNA, 156 nt
Filed under: uncultured bacterium
Lineage: Bacteria
Description: partial 16S ribosomal RNA
Rfam family: Bacterial small subunit ribosomal RNA
Source: RNAcentral
ACGGCAGAUGAUACUGCGAGACUUGAGUAAUGGAGGGGGAAGCGGAAUUCUCGGUGUAGCAGUGAAAUGCGUAGAUAUCGAGAGGAACACUCGUGGCGAAGGCGGGUUCCUGGACAUUAACUGACGCUGAGGCACGAAGGCCAGGGGAGCAAAAAG